This 441-nucleotide ribosomal RNA is filed under the name uncultured bacterium. RNAcentral describes it as "partial 16S ribosomal RNA". It matches the Rfam family "Bacterial small subunit ribosomal RNA", at positions 338 to 795 of the family's 1533-position model. The record is from RNAcentral.
CCUACGGGGGGCUGCAGUGGGGAAUAUUGCACAAUGGGGGAAACCCUGAUGCAGCGACGCCGCGUGAGUGAAGAAGUAUUUCGGUAUGUAAAGCUCUAUCAGCAGGGAAGAAGAAAGACGGUACCUGACUCAGAAGCCCCGGCUAACUACGUGCCAGCAGCCGCGGUAAUACGUAGGGGGCAAGCGUUAUCCGGAUUUACUGGGUGUAAAGGGAGCGUAGACGGCUGUGCAAGUCUGAAGUGAAAGCCCAGGGCUCAACCCUGGGACUGCUUUGGAAACUGUGGAGCUAGAGUGCUGGAGAGGUAAGUGGAAUUCCUAGUGUAGCGGUGAAAUGCGUAGAUAUUAGGAGGAACACCAGUGGCGAAGGCGGCUUACUGGACAGUAACUGACGUUGAGGCUCGAAAGCGUGGGGAGCAAACAGGAUUAGACACCCUAGUAGUC